This 253-nucleotide ribosomal RNA is filed under the name uncultured bacterium. RNAcentral describes it as "partial 16S ribosomal RNA". It matches the Rfam family "Bacterial small subunit ribosomal RNA", at positions 524 to 776 of the family's 1533-position model. The record is from RNAcentral.
UACGGAGGGAGCUAGCGUUGUUCGGAAUUACUGGGCGUAAAGCGCGCGUAGGCGGCUUUGUAAGUUAGAGGUGAAAGCCCGGGGCUCAACUCCGGAACUGCCUUUAAGACUGCAUCGCUUGAAUCCAGGAGAGGUGAGUGGAAUUCCGAGUGUAGAGGUGAAAUUCGUAGAUAUUCGGAAGAACACCAGUGGCGAAGGCGGCUGACUGGACAUGUAUUGACGCUGAGGUGCGAAAGCGCGGGGAGCAAACAGG